GUGGAUAUAGCUCAGUGGUAGAGUGCCUGCUUAGCAUGCACGAGGUCCUGGGUUCAAUCCCCAGUACCUUUA
RNAcentral lists this transfer RNA (72 nucleotides) under Camelus bactrianus (Bactrian camel). It matches the Rfam family "tRNA". From Rfam's summary of the family: Transfer RNA (tRNA) molecules are approximately 80 nucleotides in length. Their secondary structure includes four short double-helical elements and three loops (D, anti-codon, and T loops). Lineage: Eukaryota; Metazoa; Chordata; Mammalia; Artiodactyla; Camelidae. RNAcentral also lists the same sequence under 3 other names. The record is from Rfam by way of RNAcentral.